UAAUACCAGCAGUUCAAGUCGCAGCCAUAUUUAUUGGGUCUAAAACAUCCGUAGCUUGCUAUGUAAGUCUCUUGUGAAAUUCCUUCUCUCAAAGAAGGAGCGUGCAGGAGAUACUGCAUAGCUAGAGACCGGAAGGCGUAAGGAGUACAUAGUGGGUAUCGGUAAAAUGAGUUGAUCCUCUAUGGACUAACGAUAGCGAAGGCACCUUACGAGUACGGUUCUGACAGUCAGGGAUGAAGGCUAGGGUCGCGAAAGGGAUUAGAUACCCCUGUAGUCCUAGCAGUAAACACUGCACACUAAACAUCGGUAUCUCCUCGAGAGGCAUCGGUGCUGUAGGGAAGCCGUAGAGUGUGCUACCUGGGAAGUAUAGUCGCAAGGCCG
RNAcentral lists this ribosomal RNA (381 nucleotides) under uncultured euryarchaeote. RNAcentral describes it as "bacterial SSU rRNA". It matches the Rfam family "Archaeal small subunit ribosomal RNA", at positions 471 to 851 of the family's 1478-position model. The record is from RNAcentral. Lineage: Archaea; Methanobacteriati; Methanobacteriota.